This 683-nucleotide ribosomal RNA is filed under the name uncultured bacterium. RNAcentral's name for it is "bacterial SSU rRNA". It matches the Rfam family "Bacterial small subunit ribosomal RNA", at positions 126 to 807 of the family's 1533-position model. The record is from RNAcentral.
CUGCCCCUGUCAGGGGGACAACCCGCCGAAAGGCGGGCUAAACCCGCGUACAUGCCACCGGGGCAUCCCGGAGGCAGGGAAGGCUUCGGCCGGACAGGGAUGGGCAUGCGGCGCAUUAGGCAGUAGGCGGGGUAACGGCCCACCUAACCGACGAUGCGUAGGGGUUCUGAGAGGAAGGUCCCCCACACUGGUACUGAGACACGGACCAGACUCCUACGGGAGGCAGCAGUGAGGAAUAUUGGUCAAUGGUCGGGAGACUGAACCAGCCAAGCCGCGUGAGGGAGGAAGGUACAGAGUAUCGUAAACCUCUUUUGUCAGGGAACAAAGACUGGGACGCGUCCCCGGAUGAGUGUACCUGAAGAAAAAGCAUCGGCUAACUCCGUGCCAGCAGCCGCGGUAAUACGGAGGAUGCGAGCGUUAUCCGGAUUUAUUGGGUUUAAAGGGUGCGCAGGCGGUCUGUUAAGUCAGCGGUCAAAGCCCGGGGCUCAACCCCGGCCCGCCGUUGAAACUGGCAGUCUCGAGUUGGAGAGAAGUAUGCGGAAUGCGCGGUGUAGCGGUGAAAUGCAUAGAUAUCGCGCAGAACUCCGAUUGCGAAGGCAGCAUGCCGGCUCCACACUGACGCUGAGGCACGAAAGCGUGGGUAUCGAACAGGAUUAGAUACCCUGGUAGUCCACGCAGUAAAC